Bombus huntii is the source of this 4396-nucleotide long non-coding RNA. RefSeq lists it as uncharacterized. The record is from RefSeq and is a predicted model, not a curated record. Lineage: Eukaryota; Metazoa; Arthropoda; Insecta; Hymenoptera; Apidae. The transcript is spliced from 2 exons.
UUAGUAUUCUUGGAUUGUCGUUUACAUUAUUUAAGAAAGACGCUUUUAUUCCAUGAUGAUCAGAAUACUUCCGAACUAUUGGUGUGUUUUUUACUUUUUGCCAAAUCCAUGAUUGUCGUGUCGUACUUUCCUCUUCGCUACUCUCAUUAUAAUCAUACACCUUACACGCUUUGCGACUGGUAUAAUCACGUCACUAUCAGAGGAUUCGUUGUCACUGUCUUCAUUUAACACUUUUGUAUCUUCCAUUUUGAAGGGGUUUCUUAAAUUUUAAUAAUUGAACUGCUUCGUAACAGUAACGAUAAGAAUUGUGACUAACUGUUAUGAGGUACUGACAGGAACUAACAUUCAGUCACGAUCGUAACGGGCAAAAAACAGUCCGCGAGCUCGGCUUGUUAUGUUUACGUUUGGCCCAAGUAUCUGGUCGCGAUAUUCAUGUUUGGGCCAAAAUCUUCAUCGCGAGUCUGACUCGAUAAAGUACGGGAAGGGGUUAAUAAAAGUUCUGACAGAAAAGAUCAAAGAGUUGCAAGGCCAAUUGUGAUAUAAUAAAAUCUGGAACGCCAAAUAUAAUAGUAAAUACAAAUACAUAAGAACAGCGGACAAAGCGAAAUAUCCGGGAAAGGAAGGAAGGGAAGGCAGCAAGAGGCUAAUGGCAAGGGCAAGAUGCGGAAAUGUGAAAGAGGAAAACAAUUAUUGGUUGGCAGAAGAAAAAAGAAAAUAUAUUUUACGUAAUUUAGAGAUGGGUACGUUGAAACAGUUAUUAAAAGGCAACUAUAGAUUAGAUUUUAGUUUACUAAGAGAAAAGAAUACAGCAGAAAGUAGAGUUAACGAAACAAUGAAAAACUGGUUAAGAGUUUAGGAGAAAAGGCGUAAGAAUAUAGCUACUGAAGUGAUUGCAAGCCAAAGAGAAAUAUGUGAUAAUAGAUAGGUUAAGUAUAGGAUAUAUAGGUUAAGAGAAAUAAAGAUAUAUGUAUAUGUCGGAGACGAAAGGACGCCGGGGCCCCUUUGGAACUUCAGGAUAACCUCCUAACAUUGUAAUCUAGAGUCUACUAUAGCCGUAAUGAAACAAUCGCAGUUAUCCAAGCCGAUGGUAACCGUCCGCGAUUAGUGACGGUGAGCUUUGGCUCGGGGCGACAGCCUGUCGCCCAACGUAGCCGCGGUCAACGGGACGGGCGCUCCGUCUAACAAAGGACAAGUAAUACCUGAGGUUGAGGCACGUACACAGCACAAGUCCCGGCAGCCCGAGGACCCGCUAUAAAACCUGGGUUUUUCGGCAAUUAAGAUGUUUUGCAAACGGACAGGCAGCUUCUGUCCCAAACUGACCAAUCGACAGCGACAUCGAUCCGAGGAUCUUGGGUACUUAGACACCCCACCAGAGUUUAUCUCGGUGGCGUCGUUGGGACGAAGAGGCAUUCCUGACUGAGACCUCAUCGAGGAAGGGAAUAGCUCCUUACGAUCAGUACACGUUUGAGUUAGAGCAAGCAUAUCCAUCCUCCCGUUGACCGUGGAUUCGUUAUCGAACCUAAGACCACUAUCACUAGUGUCGCGGGGGCCUAAUCGCCGCUGUUGACUGUCGAAUCGGUAGUGUUCAUACCCGUUGUAUCAGGCCGUAUCUUCGUUAUAACACGACCCUGGCCAACUCCAAGGGAGGUCUAGCAAACGCCCACAACUCUAUUACUGACGCUUCUCUGACAUAUAUAUGUAAUCUGUAGCUUUGUGGAUAUAGAGGGUGGUUGGUAACUGGUGGUACAAGCGGAAAGGGGGUGAUUCUACGCCAAAAAAGAAGUCGAAAAUAUAGAAUAAAAUUUUUUUCUAAUUUUUUUUUAAUUUUUCCAUCGAGACAACGAUUUACAGUGAGAUCCGUUAAAACGAGACGUGAUAAAGUGCACGCGUACCGAGCGAAAAUUCAAAGUCGAUUUUCUCGAAAACAAAGCCUCAAACGAAAAAUUUUUAUUCUAUAUUUUCGACUUCUUUUUUCGCGUAGAAUCACCCCCUUUCCGCUUGUACCACCAGUUACCAACCACUCUGUAUAAGGGGAUAUAUAUUUGACAUGGGAAUGUGGAUGGUUGUGUUUCGGAUUAUGAUGGAUAUUCUAGGAGCUGUAAGGGGAUGAGUGAAAACUAGAAAUAUGUAAACCAAGUUCUUUUCUAAAGUUGUGAAGCCGAAAAAUAAAUAAGGAUAUAUAAUAAUUAUUAAUUCAUACAUAUAUACAUUUCUAAAUAUAUUUGGUUUUUAAAUAUUUUCAUAUAUCGAUCUUUUGUACUUUACUUUGGGAUAGUUUUACUAUCCCAAUAUAUAUCAACAUAUAUACCCAAUAUAUACAAUACAUAUGUAUUGAAUGUAUAUAGUAUAUGUGAUUUUUGUAUCUCACAGGUAGGCUAUUGUUCAAAGCCGAAAAACUUGUCAGUGUAUGAACUUGGCCAAAUUUAAAUCAAUCCUUUAACAGAAAAUAAAUAAAUAAACAAAUAUAUAUAGCAUUAAUAUUCAAGUAUAUAUUUAUAUAUUUUAUAUACAUAUAUUAUUAUAAAAACCUAACAUUAUUAGGAAAAGGUAUAUGUUAUGCACCAUAAUAUACAAAAUUAAUUUAAAUCUCUUUAUACAAAAUUUAAUUAAAAUUUGUAUUUUUAUAUUUGAAGAAGUUCAAACUAUACUUUUUAAAGAAACUUGUUUACUAUGAAUUCGUAUAUCAUUUUAUAUAUUUAUAAUCAAGAUAAAAAAAUCUUUGGUGAACUUGUAGAACUUUGAGAAAUCAACAUUUUGAGCAAUUGUUCUUUUUACAUAUUACUGUUGGUCUCGCUUAAUUUCCGAGAUAUUCGCAAAAAACUACAGGCAUCGCUACAGAAUAUUUCUGUUCGUAGUUGUGCAUCUGUGACAACAUAUGCGUUAGUAUGAGUUGCCGACUACCGGCUGCUUAUCUUCUGUUUAUAAAAGAGAGUUGGACGAGCGUAAAGACCCCGUGCAUAACGUGCAUAUACGAAGCUGUAAGAAAUGCAGUCUUUUUAUAAGUUAUAAUUCAAUUAAAAGUGAAUAUCAUUAAUAAGUGGGGUCUGAGUUUGGAUUAAACUUUCCAAUAUCGCUGCGAAGCAGAUGGCUGCCAUGAAAUAUAACGAUUAUUCUAUUUCGUAAAAUAGUAUCAAUUAUUCAUUCGUCUGUUAUUUUUGUAAUUAAUUUGUUAUUAUUUCACGCAAGCGUUACUAGACUCGUGGCGGCCGAAUUACGAAAAUUAAUCCAAACCUAAUACGUUGAUGAUAUUCAUUUUUAAGUCAAUUAUAAGAGACAAUUCUUGCAGUUUCGCAUAUAUGUUGUAGAUAUUUGUUUAUAAAUAAAAAAUAAGCUGCCGAUGGCCUACAAUCAACACUAACGCAUACGCAGCCACAGACGCACAACUAUAGACAGAAAUACACUCUAGUGGUACCUGCAGUUUUUUUGCGAAUAUCUUGUAAAAUAAGCGAAAUCGACUCCGUUACACGUGUACGAAAAUGUUGUUCAAACUGUUGAACUUUACAAAAUAUUCAAAAAUUAUAGAAAUCGGAAAGGACGGAAUGGUUCUACAAAUUCACCAAAUCUUUCUUUGAAAAGUAGUUAAAUACAAACUUUCUUGCUUAUUUAUUAUUACUUGCUUGCUUAUUACUUAUUAUUUUAAUUUUCUAAUUAUACAAAAUUAUUUUAACUUUUGUACUAAUAACUUCGAACAAGCACUUUUCUUAUCAAUAGUAAUAUUUCUAAACAAGGAAAAUAUACCAUUUAUUGAAUAAUGCAAAUUUGCUAUUUUCGCACAUUAUUCUUUAUUGCUAAUGGAAUAAAUUUGAUUUUAAUGAGUAAAAUACUUUUGUAGUUAUCUAUAAUUGUGGAAGGUGUCCUGGAUGUUGAACAUGAUAAAGGCAAAAUUAUGAAAUACUUAGUUCUUUAACUCCCAUAAGUGUACCUUAUCCUGCUAAUGCAUGAGAAGUAUGCAAUAACAUCACAGAUACUAAUCCUAUACUUAUAAGCCAAGCGUGGAGUAUAGAGAAUUAACAGGUAAGUAUAUAUAUUAAACAAUUAAAAUCAAAUUACAAUAUCAUAAUGAUGCAAAUAUGUACAGAGUGCAUACAAAAUAAAUGUCAUGACCAUCAUUUGCAAAAAAAAGUUGUUGAAUAAAGCUGCAGCAAAAUUGACUGUGACCUUGAAUAUCAAGGCUAAUUUUUUUUUGGUGCAUCAUAUUCUAUUCAUUAUAAGGACCAAACUUGUUACAGGAACCACAGAUUGGAACUCAACUGUUCCCUUGGAAAAUUCCUUUGGCUUUUCUAAUGACAUUAUUUGUGUUGUUUAUCUUUCUUAGUCAGAUAAGAAGUAAAUAGCGUGAUAUUAAUGAGAAAACAGGAAGUUAUUCCUUAGCAUGUGAGAUAACCCAUCCUAGGUA